AACACGUGGGUAAUCUACCUCCGAAUUGGGGAUAACAUUGCGAAAGCGAUGCUAAUACCGAAUAAUAUCUUUUUAGCCCCGGCUUUAAAGAUCAAAGGUGGUCACUACAUGUAAACUACUGUUUGGAGAUGAGCCCGCGUACCAUUAGCUUGUUGGUAGGGUAAUGGCCCACCUAGGCUACGAUGGUUAGCGGGUCUGAGAGGAUGAUCCGCCACACUGGAACUGGAACACGGACCAG
RNAcentral lists this ribosomal RNA (238 nucleotides) under uncultured bacterium. Its description in RNAcentral is "partial 16S ribosomal RNA". It matches the Rfam family "Bacterial small subunit ribosomal RNA", at positions 112 to 334 of the family's 1533-position model. The record is from RNAcentral.